GAGCAAACUGUUCGGCUGAGAGAGCCAUCAAUUUCAACUUCAACUUCCCCAAACACUUGUCCAAGGGUAGUUCCAGUCCUGUGUUCCAUUCUUCAUGGAGGGCAUGGGGUGACUGUCUGCGUUUGUGACCCUCCAGUCAGCAUUGAGUUGACGGGCUACAGACACUUGCAGUUGGAGAACAGGCUGUGAACUGCUGAUAUCCUGCGUCCUUCAGCACAGUGAGCGCCAGUGCCACAGAUCAACGCAAUGUUUGAGCUGCCACAGACACCUUCAUCUUCUGGCCAUCGAAGUCAACAUGCCUUCUGAUCACCUUGUUUUUGCUGCAUGAAGACCCUCAGGAUCCUGAACAUUAUUCAGAUCAACAAUAUGUUGCCAUUUAACUGUUCCAAAGGGACUGAUGAUAGGACCGUAAGCCUUGAGCAUAUUUUUAGCUAAUUUCCUGAUCAGGUAGAUAUCUUCCCCUGAGGAAAGGCGGGUAAAUGAGGUCUUCAGAGGCUGUUCUUCUGGAUUUUACCAGAUAUGUUUCGACGGUAGGGUCACAGGGAUGUUGAUGUGUCAUGUGCUUUGAAAUGAGCUGAUGUUGUUAUGGAGGUGUGCCCUCCCUGUCAAUAUUGACAGGUUGGUCACACUUCCUACUGAGUUAUCCUUUUUGGAUGGUGGUCCAGGGGUGUGACGGCAUGUAUGCCCCAUCAUCCCUGUGAACAAAAACCAGGGAUGAGGGAGCAUACGUGCUCUAACACACCUGGCCCACCAUCCUAAGAUGACCACUCUAACAGCAGGAGGUUUGACCAAUAUCAACAGGGAGGGCACACCUCCACAACAACGUCAACUGAUUUUAAAGCACGUCACAUCAACAUCCCUGUGACCCUACCGUCGAAAUGUCUGAAGUAACCUGGUUAAUGGAUGGUGGUGGCGGGGUUCUAAUGUUGAUUGUGUAUAUAGUUGUCUUUUUUCAAUAAAUUGAAGUGUGGUCAGGA
Molecule: long non-coding RNA, 977 nt
Organism: Engraulis encrasicolus (European anchovy)
Lineage: Eukaryota; Metazoa; Chordata; Actinopteri; Clupeiformes; Engraulidae
Exons: 3
Source: RefSeq, a predicted model, not a curated record